AAAUUGAAGAGUUUGAUCAUGGCUCAGAUUGAACGCUGGCGGCAGGCCUAACACAUGCAAGUCGAGCGGAAACGAGUURUCUGAACCUUCGGGGAACGAUAACGGCGUCGAGCGGCGGACGGGUGAGUAAUGCCUAGGAAAUUGCCCUGAUGUGGGGGAUAACCAUUGGAAACGAUGGCUAAUACCGCAUGAUGCCUACGGGCCAAAGAGGGGGACCUUCGGGCCUCUCGCGUCAGGAUAUGCCUAGGUGGGAUUAGCUAGUUGGUGAGGUAAGGGCUCACCAAGGCGACGAUCCCUAGCUGGUCUGAGAGGAUGAUCAGCCACACUGGAACUGAGACACGGU
This 343-nucleotide ribosomal RNA is filed under the name Vibrio alginolyticus. Its description in RNAcentral is "bacterial SSU rRNA". It matches the Rfam family "Bacterial small subunit ribosomal RNA", at positions 1 to 330 of the family's 1533-position model. The record is from RNAcentral. Lineage: Bacteria; Pseudomonadati; Pseudomonadota; Gammaproteobacteria; Vibrionales; Vibrionaceae.